GAAUUAUCGGUGUCGGAUGGGCAUGCGUUCCAUUAGCUAGUUGGUGAGGUAACGGCUCACCAAGGCCACGAUGGAUAGGGGUUCUGAGAGGAAGGUCCCCCCACAUUGGUACUGAGACACGGACCAAACUCCUACGGGAGGCAGCAGUGAGGAAUAUUGGUCAAUGGGCGAAAGCCUGAACCAGCCAAGUCGCGUGAAGGAUGACGGUCCUAUGGAUUUGUAAACUUCUUUUGUCGGGGAGUAAAGGCAGUUACGUGUAACUGUUUGCAAGUACCCGAAGAAAAAGCAUCGGCUAACUCCGUG
Molecule: ribosomal RNA, 303 nt
Filed under: uncultured bacterium
Lineage: Bacteria
Description: bacterial SSU rRNA
Rfam family: Bacterial small subunit ribosomal RNA
Source: RNAcentral